Molecule: ribosomal RNA, 558 nt
Filed under: Saccharomyces cerevisiae (brewer's yeast)
Lineage: Eukaryota; Fungi; Ascomycota; Saccharomycetes; Saccharomycetales; Saccharomycetaceae
Description: eukaryotic LSU rRNA
Rfam family: Eukaryotic large subunit ribosomal RNA
Source: RNAcentral
ACGGCGAGUGAAGCGGCAAAAGCUCAAAUUUGAAAUCUGGUACCUUCGGUGCCCGAGUUGUAAUUUGGAGAGGGCAACUUUGGGGCCGUUCCUUGUCUAUGUUCCUUGGAACAGGACGUCAUAGAGGGUGAGAAUCCCGUGUGGCGAGGAGUGCGGUUCUUUGUAAAGUGCCUUCGAAGAGUCGAGUUGUUUGGGAAUGCAGCUCUAAGUGGGUGGUAAAUUCCAUCUAAAGCUAAAUAUUGGCGAGAGACCGAUAGCGAACAAGUACAGUGAUGGAAAGAUGAAAAGAACUUUGAAAAGAGAGUGAAAAAGUACGUGAAAUUGUUGAAAGGGAAGGGCAUUUGAUCAGACAUGGUGUUUUGUGCCCUCUGCUCCUUGUGGGUAGGGGAAUCUCGCAUUUCACUGGGCCAGCAUCAGUUUUGGUGGCAGGAUAAAUCCAUAGGAAUGUAGCUUGCCUCGGUAAGUAUUAUAGCCUGUGGGAAUACUGCCAGCUGGGACUGAGGACUGCGACGUAAGUCAAGGAUGCUGGCAUAAUGGUUAUAUGCCGCCCGUCUUGAA